UAUUUCCAAUGUAGCACAUCAGCUGAAGCUAUGAUGGUCUUUUUCAGUCAGGAAGAAACACUUCAUUAUUCUGCAGAUAGCAACCAGUCGCCAGAAAAAAAGCAACAAAACCAAAGAUUCAACUGGGAAGAGGAGUCGCCUUUCAUGACCUUCAGACAACGAGUUCAUGUACAUGAGCACAUCACAAGAAGAAAACCAGGAUUGAGACCACUGAUGCUGCUCUCGCUGUGGCAGAGGUGAAUCGUUCUCCACCAAAAUGUGUGUUGUGCUCCCUCUUCAAGUGCCUUGUGUUGUCAUUGGGAAGCAGCUUGCCAGCUGAAGACUUUAUUCCCAGCCCCAUUUGCAUCAGAAUGUGGCCAAUUAUUUAUACUUACCACUGGAAUGUGAGCGAAAAGACUUCUAGGCACAUGCAGAUCUUUCCCACAUUCUCCCUUUACCCUUCCCUCAUCUGCCACUACUCCUAACCACUAUACUCUAUUGCUUCAUGUAGUAAUAACGA
RNAcentral lists this long non-coding RNA (499 nucleotides) under Homo sapiens (human). Its description in RNAcentral is "HSALNT0040710". Lineage: Eukaryota; Metazoa; Chordata; Mammalia; Primates; Hominidae. The record is from RNAcentral.